GAAGUAAAAGUGGUAACAAGGUUUCCGUAGGUGAACCUGCGGAAGGAUCAUUAUUGAAUUUUAAUGAAGAGUUCGGUUGUAGCUGGCCCAUUCAUUUGGGCAUGUGCACACCUUCCUCUUUCAUCCCACACACACCUGUGAACUUGUGAGAUAGAUGGGGAAUUUACUUGUUGCUUUUUGGAAUACAAAGGCAAUAGGUUAUUGGAACCUCUGUCUACUUAAUUAAUAUAAACUCAAUUUAUUUUAAAACGAAUGUAAUGGAUGUAACACAUCUCAUACUAAGUUUCAACAACGGAUCUCUUGGCUCUCGCAUCGAUGAAGAACGCAGCGAAAUGCGAUAAGUAAUGUGAAUUGCAGAAUUCAGUGAAUCAUCGAAUCUUUGAACGCACCUUGCGCUCCUUGGUAUUCCUUGGAGCAUGCCUGUUUGAGUAUCAUGAAUUCUUCAAAGUAAAUCUUUUGUUAAUUCAAUUGGUUUCACUUUGGUAUUGGAGGUCUUUUGCAGCUUCACACCUGCUCCUCUUUGUGCAUUAGCUGGAUCUCAGUGUUAUGCUUGGUUCCACUCGGCGUGAUAAAUUAUCUAUCGCUGAGGACACUGUAAAAAGGUGGCCAAGGUAAAUGCAGAUGAACCGCUUCCAAUAGUCCAUUGGGCUUGGACAAUACCUUUAUGAUCUGAUCUCAAAUCGGGUAGGACUACCCGCUGAACUUAAGCAUAUCAAUAA
This 719-nucleotide ribosomal RNA is filed under the name Rhizoctonia solani. RNAcentral describes it as "eukaryotic LSU rRNA". The stretch from base 281 to 434 matches the Rfam family "5.8S ribosomal RNA". The record is from RNAcentral. Lineage: Eukaryota; Fungi; Basidiomycota; Agaricomycetes; Cantharellales; Ceratobasidiaceae.